CACGACACCGGANAGGGAGCCUGANAACGGCUACCACAUCCAAGGAUGGCAGCAGGCGCGCAAAUUACCCAAUCCCGACACGGGGAGGUAGUGACAAUAAAUAACAAUACGGGGUUCUUUCGGAUCUCGUAAUUGGAAUGAGUACAAUUUAAAUCUCUUAACGAGGAACAAUUGGAGGGGGCNNNUCGGGUGCCAGCAGCCGCGGUAAUUCCAGCUCCAAUAGCGUAUAUUAAAGUUGUUGCAGUUAAAAAGCUCGUAGUUGAAUUUCGGGAUUAAUAUGUUGGUCGUGCCUUGGUACGUACUGGCAUUAUUGAUUCCUACCUUCUGAAGAACCUCGAUGUCAUUAAUUUGGUGUCUUGGGGAAUCAGGACCGUUACUUUGAAAAAAUUAGAGUGUUUAAAGCAGGCUCGCGCUUGAAUACAUUAGCAUGGAAUAAUGAAAUAGGACGUUUGAUUCUAUUUUGUUGGUUUCUAGGAUCGACGUAAUGAUUAAUAGGGAUAGUUGGGGGCAUUAUAUUCAAUUGUCAGAGGUGAAAUUCUUGGAUUUAUUGAANACUGACUACUGCGNAAGCAUUUGCCAAGGAUGUCUUC
This 590-nucleotide ribosomal RNA is filed under the name uncultured Glomus. RNAcentral's name for it is "SSU rRNA". It matches the Rfam family "Eukaryotic small subunit ribosomal RNA", at positions 376 to 971 of the family's 1831-position model. The record is from RNAcentral. Lineage: Eukaryota; Fungi; Glomeromycota; Glomeromycetes; Glomerales; Glomeraceae.